RNA transcript from Cygnus atratus (black swan), 4055 nucleotides. It is a transcript of the gene named pantothenate kinase 1, with no coding region annotated. The transcript has 6 exons. NCBI's taxonomy places the organism in Eukaryota, Metazoa, Chordata, Aves, Anseriformes, Anatidae. The record is from RefSeq and is a predicted model, not a curated record.
CGGCAGGGAGCUCCUGAAGCAGCGACGAGGGAAAUCCUCUGGCUUUCUUGUCAAAGCAGCGAAUGCCAAUCACUGUCCCGAUCACCCUGUUCCAGAAUGGCAGGGCACGGUAACGUACAGCUCUCCUGGUAACGUACAGCUCUGGUAAAGGCUCACUCAGGAGUCCUCUGAACUCUAACGAGGACCAUCUGUGUGCUGUGCAUUGAAGUAAAAGGAAAAGCAACUGAAAGUCGUCAGUAACUACCAAACCCAGAGGACGGGAUUAAAAAUAGCUGUCAAAGAAAGGGAAAAAAUUGCUUCUGGGGCAAACCUGAAAGUUUUUCUCUUCUGCUUGCUGGGAAGGAAAGCUGAAGAUCUUCUCAGAAUAUUUUGCAAGGUUGUCACAACAUGCUCCAGCCAAGGAUAAAUGAAGUUUUGAAACAGGCCAGGCUUCCUUCCUCAGAGUUUGCACGCAGCUAAUCUGAGGAAACGGAAAGGUUUCCACCAAAGUGAUGAGUUUUACCAAGCUCUGGCUGAUCUGACUCUCAGAAGUUUUAGGUGGAUGGUAUAGCUAGCAACGGGGUGUCUAAAGCAGCCUUUAACAUGGCCACUAAGAAUCUCAGCAGUGGACUUGGACAAGAAAAACCUAACGUGACAGACAUCUCCCUGCUCCUGAAGGUGGUUGAGGAGGAAUGCCAGAGGUGUGCUGUUUCCCUUCUGCAGUUAUCCCCGUCUGUGGACUAGUUUGGAAAAGGGAAACUAAUGUUUGGAAGAGGGAAACUGUGUCCUUUAUGUCCUUGGAGAACUAAUCCAGCUCUUUCUGGAUUGAAGGUGUGUCUGGCCAGAACAGUUCAGAGAGAAGCCUUUUUUCUUCUCCUGCGUACCCGCAUAGGUCUGGUCCCCUGUUUUAACUUGAUCCAUAAUCUUUAACAUCCAUGGGAAUUUCAUGUCAGCAUUUAAGCCCUGGGAAUACAGAACAAUGCAAGUGGAAAAUCUCAGUGCGGCUGAAUUUUGACAGGAGGACCAGGUAAUUUUUAUAUCUGGUAGUGCUGGAUGAGCAAGAGUUUUUCGUAAUUGUCAGUUGUAAUUGUCAACUAUUCUGUUGUAUUUCAAAGUGCUUGUUUUGAAACUGUCACUUCUUUACCAAUGGCAUUUUGAUGGAUGGAUGAUAUAUAAACACUGGGUUGAAAGAAACACCAUAAAUAUAUUCAGCCAAGCAAAACCAAUACGUGUAUUUACAGGAGGGUAAUUGUCUGUGGGGUAGCAGUCAUGGAGCAAAGGCCAUUGUUUUCUCUACUGAAUGCUCUGCCACUUGUCGCAAUCAUUUUUACGAUGAUGAACACUAUUUCUCAAUCAGUGGGUUGUGAAGUUGCAUGUUUUCCAAUUAAAUUUUGUGUAUUUAAAGAUAAGUGUAAAGAUAAGUGUGCUGAGCUAAGUGCUUAGGAAGCAGAGAGAGAGUGGAUUAACGAAUGGGGCCAAAGGAGAGUGUACUUGCAACAAGAUUUUCAGCUUUUUACAUAUGUAAUAGUUUGAAUCCAUUACCUGGUUUCAGCUUUUUUUUUUCUUUUUAAACAAACUGCAAAAUAGGAACUAUGGCAAAAGAUGAUUCACCUCCAACACCUACUACAUCGUCAUUGACUUGUACUCCUAAGCAAUAAUCAAGGACUCGAUUUUAAAUGUUUACCGAUUUGGGGAAUUUUAUUUGAAAUGUCUGAACUAAGGCACAGAAGGUUUUUGUUUUGUAUAAAAGAUGGACACCAACAGCUCUGCUGGAGAGUAAAAACCUGUAAAUUAAGUUGUAAUUGUCUGGUUGGGCACAGAGAAACAGAGGUAUUGGCAGGGAAAGCUUUAGCAAGGAAGGGUUGUUGCUUUUCUGUGACUGCUGCAUGCUUUUUUCAGUUUGGUUGAAAGAGGGCAACCACGAACUCUAACCUCAUCUCCGAUCUUCCUGAGAAUAGCUGUGGAAACCACUUGGCCAGCAAAAAGUCUGAAUGGAGAGACUGGUGAGGCCAGACUACGCCUUUGUACUCUCCUAACUGUUAUUCCCAUGUCUUAGCUGGUGUUGUUAGAUACACAGGCCGUGUCCUAGUCCAGAAAAACUUCCCAGGCAGCAUUCAUCCGGCCUUGCCUGGACACUCAGCUUGGGCACUUGGGCUUAGAGGUCUCUCAGUGCGCAAUUUGUCAUCAGUGAAGUGAAAGAACAUUUCUCCUGAUGGCUUUUCAGACCACCCAUGCUAGGUUCCUGCUUAGAGUGCUUCUCUCUGUCUUUCUCUCCCUUGAGCCAAGCGGUGGGGAGAUGAGCUUUGGCUGUGCAGAGGAACAGAGCAGCUCUUCACAAAAUCAACAGUUGUUAAGUGUCACAGAAGGCAUAAUUGAAAAGAGCCAAGAGGUGGGUGGGGAGUGAAUGAAUGGAUGGUUUCAGUGUAACCUUUCUUGGGUUCAAUCUAGCAAAGAUUUAGGCAUUGGACUAAAUUUAUGCCCUUUGUUUCCUCUGUAACCUGCAGUUUCCCCUCUCAGAUGCGUUAAUGUUUGGAAAAGCUGAGUUCUCGGGUUGGGCAGCUGUUGCCAUAGUUGGGCUUAGCUUUUCUGUGAUCACAUCUGAUAAUACUAGAGCCCUUCGGGUCCCUUUUUAAAAACUAAUGUUGCAGUUUUUGAGCUCAUUUGUACCACUUAUUUUAUGCACCCACCAUUUGUCAUCAAAUAGUUUUGCUUGACUGUUGGUCUUUUGACCCCACAAUUUAAAGCAGGGAAAAAAGAGCAUUAAAACAUACUUUAAACAUGUAUGUCUACCAAAGAUAUGCAUACAUACGCAACAACAAAAAGUAAUCCCUCCCCAGGUUCUGAAGAAAUUGGAACAGAAAUCUGAAAGAAAUACUGGGCUCCUAGACGUGGCACUUUCCUUUAGAUAUGUGUGAUAUGUGAAUAUAGCUAAAACAAAUCAACAGUAUCUGAUUUUUGAAACCAAUGUUCCUAAUAUUUUUAAUGUUAAUUAAGCUGUACUGUAUUUAUUUUCUAAGAGGAAAAAUUGAAUAAGAACUGGUAUAAACUAGUAUGACAUUCCUGUAGUAUAGAAACAGGAUAAAAAUAGAAGUAACCUGAAUGGAAAUAUAAGCAGGAAUGGCAGAGUGCCAGCAAUCCCUAGGACAUAAAUCUGCAGGCAGCUAAACCAGAAGUCUGUUUCCUUACACUCUUCACAUUGCAUGAUACGGUUUGUAUAAUUUGAGAAGGAUGUUGCUUCUUAUUAAAGAUGUCACUCCUUAUUACCACUUCUCUCCAGAAUAUGACCAAAGCUUUGUAGCUGGCUGGCUUUGAAUUAGAAUAACAACACCAGUGCUCUGUUGCAGUUUUGGGGGGUUCUUGGGUACUGGGUUUACAUGUGGCCUGCACCUGUUUGGUGCUUGCUUCAGCUUUGCCUCAAGCUGGGGCUAUGUGAGCCCCACAGAAUGAGCAAGGAAUUCCUGAAAAUUUCGGGCAGAGUUGCCUGCCAGAUAAGACACUUGAUUGUGGGUGUUUGUUGUUUUUUGCUUGUGUGUUCUUUUUUUGGUCCCCCCAUUGCCACUGGGCUUGAAACUGUAGGGCUUGGAGUACAGUGCUUUUGCUCCUGUGGUAGAGUAUCUUAACCACCAUGCGGUUGCUAGUUUGAUGGAACUGACAGAGUUAGAAUGUUACAGCCUGGUUCCAAGUGUUUAUGAACAAAUAAGUAGAGGUGAUACAAAGCUGGGCAUCUGAAGUGCAGGCAGGAAUGGAAUAAUGAAUGAAAUGUUUGCCAUCCAAGUAAUAUGCAGAGAGUCAGUGUUAGCAGACUAGUUACACUAUAGCAAUACUAUGUACACCUCAGGGCAUGAGAUUCCGUCAUUUUAAACCCUUACAGAUGAUCACAUGAUGCAUUAAACAUCCUCUAAUUUUAUCCCUUUUGUCUUAAUUUACAUCGCAGAAGAGGUGAAGAAUUCUGAAACUAAAAUUGAGGGGUAUGCAAAACUUCUUCAAAAGCUUUUCAAAAUUAAGUAAUGUAAACUAAAACAAAAAAGUGGUAUUUUGAAGUGCAUAAAUCUGUUCAUGUGAUAUUCAUCAGCACA